AUGACACCCCAGAGCAGCCACGUGUGGAGCCUGGCGUACGCCGGCUUCCUGCGCUCCUGGGCGCUGCGCCGGGGGACUGGGGGGGCGAUCGGACAGGGAGCGAUGACGGGGUGCUCCGGAGACCCCGCGGGGCCCAGGCGCAGGAAGAAACGGGCGGCGGGGGCGAGGGGGCUGAUCCCCCGCAAGGAGAGGCCAAGGCCGGCUCGCGCCACACCCCUCUCCAGGCCAGAGUCGUCCGCGUGCAGCGCGGCGAAGCCCUCAGUUUCCCCUGCCCGGCAGCGGCCCGCUGGGUCCCCAGGCUCACCUGUCCCAGUCCCGGGCGGCUUAGUCCGUCACAGACCGGGGCUCGGGCGGGCGGGGACCAAGGGCCCUAGUCCGGCGGCUGCGGUCGGGGAGGGUGGCCCCGGCCGGCCCGGGGUCGGUAGGGCCAUUCCAGAAAAGGUUUGCCGGGCAGGUCUCCGAGAACAAAGGGCGGGGGGAGGACCCGGCAUGUUUGUGGACUUGUUUGUGACUCAAUCCCUUCUGCACGGCGUUUCAAAGACAGACCUGCAAGCCUUGUCAGGAAGAGAAAGAACUUGGGGGCGGGGGAGGCUGGGGCGCCGCAUUUCCGUCCAGCCGCGCUCGCUCGCGCGGCCCCUGAGCUCCAGGCUUGCGCAGCGGCGUUUCAUUAGAGCCCCGGGCCCGGGCGGCGCGCCAGGAACUUCCCCGCACGCAGCGAGAGCGACGAGCCCCGCCCCGCCCCGGCCCGGCUCCAGGCCUCGCACUGUCAGGCACGAGCGCCGCCACAUAAAAUGGAUCCCGGCCGGCGCGGCGAGGGCGGCAGGUUCCAGAGGCUCCUCCGCGCCGCGCCCGGGCGCACACGCGCGCUCUGACCGCCGACCGCUCCCGGGCCCUGCGGAGCCGCCCCUCUCCCGGCCCUCGCGCAACUGUCAGGCGAAACGGGCCGGCGGAUAUUGGCUCGGCGACACGCCGAGGCUCCUCCCCGAGUCUGGAUCUUUAUAUUUUGGGAGAAUUUCUUUGAACUCAGUUACCAAGCUCGGUGAAGGAGACAAGUUCCCACCGCCGGCUCGGCUGGGCUCGGCUCGCCCAGCCCACCUUCCCGCGGCGGCCGCGAGCCCCGAUCGUAUCCCUCCCUGCCCUCGUGGGGGAGCACGGACCGACUUGCCUGAAGAAAAUGCCAGUGCUGUGGUUGUGACCGUGACAAGAGAACGUGCAGCUGGAGCAGGCAGACGGGGAUGA
Molecule: long non-coding RNA, 1239 nt
Filed under: Macaca fascicularis (crab-eating macaque)
Lineage: Eukaryota; Metazoa; Chordata; Mammalia; Primates; Cercopithecidae
Description: lncRNA (ENSMFAG00000052252.1)
Source: RNAcentral